Molecule: ribosomal RNA, 292 nt
Filed under: uncultured bacterium
Lineage: Bacteria
Also listed under: 2 other names
Description: partial 16S ribosomal RNA
Source: RNAcentral
GGACUACCAGGGUUUCUAAUCCCGUUUGCUCCCCUGGCUUUCGCGCCUCAGCGUCAGAAGAGGUCCAGCACGUCGCUUUCGCCACCGGCGUUCCUUCCGAUAUCUACGCAUUUCACCGCUCCACCGGAAGUUCCACAUGCCCCUACCUCCCUCAAGACGACCAGUAUCCAGGGCUAUUCUCCAGUUGAGCUGGAGUAUUUCACCCCGGACUUGAUCACCCGCCUACGCGCCCUUUAAGCCCAGUGAAUCCGAACAACGUUCGCACGGUUCGUCUUACCGCGGCGGCUGGCAC